This 69-nucleotide transfer RNA is filed under the name Chloriona tateyamana. RNAcentral describes it as "tRNA-Val". Lineage: Eukaryota; Metazoa; Arthropoda; Insecta; Hemiptera; Delphacidae. The record is from RNAcentral.
CGGAUAUAUUCAUGGUGAAAUAAUUUUUUACAAUAAUUAGUUUAAACUGUUCAAUUCAGUUUUAUCUGA